Long non-coding RNA from Cervus elaphus (red deer), 1256 nucleotides. RefSeq lists it as uncharacterized. The record is from RefSeq and is a predicted model, not a curated record. The transcript is spliced from 4 exons. NCBI's taxonomy places the organism in Eukaryota, Metazoa, Chordata, Mammalia, Artiodactyla, Cervidae.
GGUUGCGCAGCCCGGCCUCGGGGCGAAGUCUGAGGCCGGUUAGGCUGUACUGAGGGUUUGGAUUUGCUAGGUCUGGUGUCAUACAGGUGACCCCUUUGGUAAGGUUAAUGGAUCUACUUAUUUGCUGUAGGAUUUUCAACUGCAGUCCUAAAACUCAAGAUUGCUUUUUCAUUUGGAGACAUAUAGGUGUUAUGAUUUACCACUGGGCCACUUGGGAAGCCCUAUAACUGCUCUCCCCACUUGAAUUCUGAAUAACUCUCAAGAGCCAGGUGAGAAGAGGGUGGUGCUAUAGGAGAGACCACUGGAUAUAUGCCAGAAGACUGUAUCUGCUAAUACACCCAUCCUUGUUGAAUAUUUACAGUUUUACCCAACUCAUGAGUGCCAUGGUCAAUGCCACCAAGUUCAUGGAUCUGGCAGUGAUGGGAAAAUGAAGAUGCAUUUCUUGGAGUCCAGCUAAUGGGUAAGCCAUACAGAAGAUCAGAUGAGCCAGAGGAUUCAGUGACAGCCCUAAUUUUUCUCAAAAACUGUUAGUUUAUGUGUUUGUCCCAACCUGGAGAUGUUUCAUUUCUUGAAUUUGAUCUUCUGAUAAAACAACGGUGGUACCAACACAUUCUCCUAGUAAGUGAGAGCCAUACUUGGUUCUAAAUGGUGCAUGCUGUAUUUCUAUUUGUCCUGAGUCCUAAAGAAAUGCAUUUUGUAAGCACUAUCUGAGAAGAAAUUUUUAUGGGUACAUUACAGUCUAGUAUGUGCAUUGUUAAAGGGAAAACUUGUUUCAGUGAAGUAGUUGGCAGAGAACUAUAAAUCUUAAUGGAUAGGAAAAUAUGCCUUUCCGUAAAAAGGAAAGAAAGAAACAGACACGGAAAGCAAGCAAGACACCCUGCUAAAGACUCCUCAAAAAAAUCACGCCUCUGACCAGCAUCUAGAAUGUUCAUCCUUUUCCAGUGUUUAUGAUCAGUCCACUUACAUAUUGCCAUUCUCCUCUGUGUUCUUCCAUUCUAUUUGAGAAAAUUGUCCCUUGGCUGUGCCAAAAAUUUGAGGCAAAAAUGAAAAAUGUUUUGCUUUAUUGCUAACCUGUGAAAAUGUGUUUUUUUGCCAGUGUUGUGAUGGUUGGGUUUUGCGUUUUGUUUUUUUUUUUUUUUUCCUCUUUCUCACAUGGCUCUAAUCCUGGCUGGAUAGAUCUUGACGUGCAAAUAAAAUUCCAUCCUAAAUAAGUAAAUUGUGUUUCUCAGUUGGAGGCUGGAAAACCCUAUUCCUUA